This 2527-nucleotide ribosomal RNA is filed under the name Escherichia coli. RNAcentral describes it as "partial 23S ribosomal RNA". It matches the Rfam family "Bacterial large subunit ribosomal RNA", at positions 418 to 2925 of the family's 2925-position model. The record is from RNAcentral. Lineage: Bacteria; Pseudomonadati; Pseudomonadota; Gammaproteobacteria; Enterobacterales; Enterobacteriaceae.
CGGGACACGUGGUAUCCUGUCUGAAUAUGGGGGGACCAUCCUCCAAGGCUAAAUACUCCUGACUGACCGAUAGUGAACCAGUACCGUGAGGGAAAGGCGAAAAGAACCCCGGCGAGGGGAGUGAAAAAGAACCUGAAACCGUGUACGUACAAGCAGUGGGAGCACGCUUAGGCGUGUGACUGCGUACCUUUUGUAUAAUGGGUCAGCGACUUAUAUUCUGUAGCAAGGUUAACCGAAUAGGGGAGCCGAAGGGAAACCGAGUCUUAACUGGGCGUUAAGUUGCAGGGUAUAGACCCGAAACCCGGUGAUCUAGCCAUGGGCAGGUUGAAGGUUGGGUAACACUAACUGGAGGACCGAACCGACUAAUGUUGAAAAAUUAGCGGAUGACUUGUGGCUGGGGGUGAAAGGCCAAUCAAACCGGGAGAUAGCUGGUUCUCCCCGAAAGCUAUUUAGGUAGCGCCUCGUGAAUUCAUCUCCGGGGGUAGAGCACUGUUUCGGCAAGGGGGUCAUCCCGACUUACCAACCCGAUGCAAACUGCGAAUACCGGAGAAUGUUAUCACGGGAGACACACGGCGGGUGCUAACGUCCGUCGUGAAGAGGGAAACAACCCAGACCGCCAGCUAAGGUCCCAAAGUCAUGGUUAAGUGGGAAACGAUGUGGGAAGGCCCAGACAGCCAGGAUGUUGGCUUAGAAGCAGCCAUCAUUUAAAGAAAGCGUAAUAGCUCACUGGUCGAGUCGGCCUGCGCGGAAGAUGUAACGGGGCUAAACCAUGCACCGAAGCUGCGGCAGCGACGCUUAUGCGUUGUUGGGUAGGGGAGCGUUCUGUAAGCCUGUGAAGGUGUGCUGUGAGGCAUGCUGGAGGUAUCAGAAGUGCGAAUGCUGACAUAAGUAACGAUAAAGCGGGUGAAAAGCCCGCUCGCCGGAAGACCAAGGGUUCCUGUCCAACGUUAAUCGGGGCAGGGUGAGUCGACCCCUAAGGCGAGGCCGAAAGGCGUAGUCGAUGGGAAACAGGUUAAUAUUCCUGUACUUGGUGUUACUGCGAAGGGGGGACGGAGAAGGCUAUGUUGGCCGGGCGACGGUUGUCCCGGUUUAAGCGUGUAGGCUGGUUUUCCAGGCAAAUCCGGAAAAUCAAGGCUGAGGCGUGAUGACGAGGCACUACGGUGCUGAAGCAACAAAUGCCCUGCUUCCAGGAAAAGCCUCUAAGCAUCAGGUAACAUCAAAUCGUACCCCAAACCGACACAGGUGGUCAGGUAGAGAAUACCAAGGCGCUUGAGAGAACUCGGGUGAAGGAACUAGGCAAAAUGGUGCCGUAACUUCGGGAGAAGGCACGCUGAUAUGUAGGUGAAGUCCCUCGCGGAUGGAGCUGAAAUCAGUCGAAGAUACCAGCUGGCUGCAACUGUUUAUUAAAAACACAGCACUGUGCAAACACGAAAGUGGACGUAUACGGUGUGACGCCUGCCCGGUGCCGGAAGGUUAAUUGAUGGGGUCAGCGCAAGCGAAGCUCUUGAUCGAAGCCCCGGUAAACGGCGGCCGUAACUAUAACGGUCCUAAGGUAGCGAAAUUCCUUGUCGGGUAAGUUCCGACCUGCACGAAUGGCGUAAUGAUGGCCAGGCUGUCUCCACCCGAGACUCAGUGAAAUUGAACUCGCUGUGAAGAUGCAGUGUACCCGCGGCAAGACGGAAAGACCCCGUGAACCUUUACUAUAGCUUGACACUGAACAUUGAGCCUUGAUGUGUAGGAUAGGUGGGAGGCUUAGAAGUGUGGACGCCAGUCUGCAUGGAGCCGACCUUGAAAUACCACCCUUUAAUGUUUGAUGUUCUAACGUUGACCCGUAAUCCGGGUUGCGGACAGUGUCUGGUGGGUAGUUUGACUGGGGCGGUCUCCUCCUAAAGAGUAACGGAGGAGCACGAAGGUUGGCUAAUCCUGGUCGGACAUCAGGAGGUUAGUGCAAUGGCAUAAGCCAGCUUGACUGCGAGCGUGACGGCGCGAGCAGGUGCGAAAGCAGGUCAUAGUGAUCCGGUGGUUCUGAAUGGAAGGGCCAUCGCUCAACGGAUAAAAGGUACUCCGGGGAUAACAGGCUGAUACCGCCCAAGAGUUCAUAUCGACGGCGGUGUUUGGCACCUCGAUGUCGGCUCAUCACAUCCUGGGGCUGAAGUAGGUCCCAAGGGUAUGGCUGUUCGCCAUUUAAAGUGGUACGCGAGCUGGGUUUAGAACGUCGUGAGACAGUUCGGUCCCUAUCUGCCGUGGGCGCUGGAGAACUGAGGGGGGCUGCUCCUAGUACGAGAGGACCGGAGUGGACGCAUCACUGGUGUUCGGGUUGUCAUGCCAAUGGCACUGCCCGGUAGCUAAAUGCGGAAGAGAUAAGUGCUGAAAGCAUCUAAGCACGAAACUUGCCCCGAGAUGAGUUCUCCCUGACUCCUUGAGAGUCCUGAAGGAACGUUGAAGACGACGACGUUGAUAGGCCGGGUGUGUAAGCGCAGCGAUGCGUUGAGCUAACCGGUACUAAUGAACCGUGAGGCUUAACCUU